Molecule: ribosomal RNA, 465 nt
Filed under: uncultured bacterium
Lineage: Bacteria
Description: partial 16S ribosomal RNA
Rfam family: Bacterial small subunit ribosomal RNA
Source: RNAcentral
GACGAACGCUGGCGGCGUGCUUAACACAUGCAAGUCGAACGGAAAGGCCCUGCUUGCCGGGUCCUCGAGUGGCGAACGGGUGAGUAACACGUGGGUGAUCUGCCCUGCACUUCGGGAUAAGCCUGGGAAACUGGGUCUAAUACCGGAUAGGAGCCAUUUUUAGUGUGAUGGUUGGAAAGUUUUUUCGGUGUAGGAUGAGCUCGCGGCCUCACUGCUUGUUGGUGGGGUAAUGGCCUACCAAGGCGGCGACGGGGAGCCGGCCUGGGAGGGUGGACGGGCACAGUGGGACUGGGACACGGACCAGGCUCCGACGGGAGGCAGAAGUGGGGGAUGGUGCUCAAUGAGAGCGAGCCUGAUGCAGCGACGCCGCGGGGGGGAUGACGGCCUUCGGGUUAUAAACGCAUUUCGCUAGGGACGAAGCUUUUUGUGACGGUACCUAGAGAAGAAGCACCGGCUAACUACGUG